RNAcentral lists this ribosomal RNA (476 nucleotides) under uncultured bacterium. RNAcentral describes it as "bacterial SSU rRNA". It matches the Rfam family "Bacterial small subunit ribosomal RNA", at positions 33 to 507 of the family's 1533-position model. The record is from RNAcentral.
GACGACGCUGGCGGCGUGCCUAACACAUGCAAGUCCGAGCGGGGUUGAAGCGAGGGGUAACUCGGACUUCUACCUAGCGGCGGACGGGUGAGUAACGCGUGGGCAACCUGCCUCAAGGUUUGGGAUAACAGCUCGAAAGGGCUGCUAAUACCGGAUAUGCCUGUGGCCUCGCAUGGGGCUAUGAGCAAAGGGGAAACCCGCCUUGAGAUGGGCCCGCGUCCCAUCAGCUAGUUGGUGAGGUGAAGGCUCACCAAGGCGACGACGGGUAGCCGGCCUGAGAGGGUGACCGGCCACACUGGGACUGAGACACGGCCCAGACUCCUACGGGGGGCAGCAGUGGGGGAUCUUGCACAAUGGGCGAAAGCCUGAUGCAGCGACGCCGCGUGAGCGAAGAAGGCCUUCGGGUUGUAAAGCUCUGUCUGGAGGGACGAAACAAAUGACGGUACCUACCGGAGGAAGCCACGGCUAACUACGUG